AUAUCUUUCUCGGCUUUUUGGCUAAGAUCAAGUGUAGUAUCUGUUCUUAUCAGUUUAAUAUUUGAUAUGUGAAUCAUGUGCCCACAAUAAUAUUAAAUUUAUUUUUUAUGGGAGAGAGACCACCACAAUGGCUUGCCAUUUGGUCCCUCAGGUGUUGCCCAUCAACUUAAAAUUU
This is a non-coding RNA of Triticum aestivum (bread wheat), 175 nucleotides long. Lineage: Eukaryota; Viridiplantae; Streptophyta; Magnoliopsida; Poales; Poaceae. The record is from Rfam.